Molecule: ribosomal RNA, 138 nt
Filed under: uncultured eukaryote
Lineage: Eukaryota
Description: partial 18S ribosomal RNA
Rfam family: Eukaryotic small subunit ribosomal RNA
Source: RNAcentral
UGGUGGAGUGAUUUGUCUGGUUAAUUCCGUUAACGAACGAGACCUCGACCUGCUAAAUAGUCCAUGGAAUCCUUGGAUUCUAUGUACUUCUUAGAGGGACUAUCGGUGUGUAACCGAUGGAAGUUCGAGGCAAUAACA